AUCUUACCAUCAAGCAGCUUCUAAUCCUGCUUGGCAGGCUGCAAUGACCAAAGAGUUUGAGGCAUUAGCAGCCAAUAAUACAUGGUCUUUGGUCCCACUUCCUUCUGGGAAGAAGCCUAUUGGGUGCAAAUGGGUUUACAAGAUCAAGUAUAGGGCUGAUGGGAGUGUGGAGAGGUAUAAGGCUAGAUUGGUGGUCAGAGGUGAUACUCAAAUUGAGGGAGUGGACUACACUGAUACAUUCUCUCCUGUUGUGAAAUUUUCUACUAUCAAAACCUUGGUUGCAGUUGCUGUGAAACAGUCCUGGCCUUUGUUUCAACUGGAUGUUAAUAAUGCAUUUCUCCAUGGUGAUCUCAAUGAAGAGGUAUAUAUGAAAUUGCCUCCUGGUCUUACAGUUUCUUCCUCUUCUUCUUCUUCUCCUUCUUUUUCUUCUUCUCCUCCUAUUGUCUGCCUUCUUCAGAAAUCUUUAUAUGGCCUAAAACAAGCCUCUAGGCAAUGGUAUGCCAAACUUUCCCAAGCCUUAUGCUCUAAAGGCUACUCUACCUCUCUCAAUGAUUACUCUCUUUUUUAUAAGAAAUCUGGUGAUUCUACUGUUCUCUUAGCUGUAUAUGUUGAUGAUAUAAUUCUAACUGGUAAUGAUCCUGAGGAAAUCUCUGCUUUAAAAUCCUUCUUAGACUCUGCUUUCAAGAUAAAGGACCUGGGCAUUCUCAACUAUUUUCUUGGCAUUGAAGUUGCCUAUUUAGCUGAUGGGCUUCUUCUUCAUCAGAAGAAGUUCAUCACUGACCUUCUUUUUACCUACAACUGUUCUGAUGUUACUCCUGUGACCUGUCCUCUCAAUCUUUCUGUUAAACUAAAGCAUGACAUGGGCAUCCCUCUUUCCUCUCCUGAAUCUUACAGAAGCCUAGUUGGCAAACUUAACUUCCUCACUCAUACAAGGCCUGAUUUGGCCUUUGCUGUGCAACAUCUUAGCCAAUUUCUUCAGAAACCUACUUCAGUCCACAUGGAUGCUGCUUUACAUACUCUUAGGUACCUCAAAGGUACAUCUGAUCUUGGGGUGUUUCUCAAUAACAAUCCUGACUUGUCUUU
RNAcentral lists this long non-coding RNA (1083 nucleotides) under Nicotiana benthamiana. RNAcentral describes it as "long non-coding RNA (NBEN_LNC024052)". The record is from RNAcentral. Lineage: Eukaryota; Viridiplantae; Streptophyta; Magnoliopsida; Solanales; Solanaceae.